This 430-nucleotide ribosomal RNA is filed under the name uncultured bacterium. RNAcentral describes it as "bacterial SSU rRNA". It matches the Rfam family "Bacterial small subunit ribosomal RNA", at positions 29 to 490 of the family's 1533-position model. The record is from RNAcentral.
AACGAACGCUGGCGGCAGGCCUAACACAUGCAAGUCGAACGCCGUAGCAAUACGGAGUGGCAGACGGGUGAGUAACGCGUGGGAACAUACCCCUCGGUUCGGAAUAACUCAGGGAAACUUGAGCUAAUACCGGAUACGUCCGAGGUUUUAAUCGGCCUUGGAGAAAGAUUUAUCGCCGGAGGAUUGGCCCGCGUCUGAUUAGCUUGUUGGUGAGGUAAUGGCUCACCAAGGCGACGAUCAGUAGCUGGUCUGAGAGGAUGAUCAGCCACAUUGGGACUGAGACACGGCCCAAACUCCUACGGGAGGCAGCAGGUGGGGAAUAUUGGACAAUGGGCGAAAGCCUGAUCCAGCCAUGCCGCGUGAGUGAUGAAGGCCUUAGGGUUGUAAAGCUCUUUACCCGGGAAGAUAAUGACGAUACCGGGAGAAUAAG